CAUCAACAUACACCUCAAUGGGCAGAACGCGAUAACCGGAUAUUCGGUAGCCCACGUUAUUUAUUGCGAUAAUUACAAGCUUAACGACCGACAACACGCAUUCUGCCACGAACAAAAAUAGAUGCUGACUGACCUGCUGAACAAUUCCAGCAUUUUAUCAAGUCAAUAAUAAAGAGGGUGUGCAGGUCUUAUGGAUUAUGGAACGGUGCCGGAAAAAGUGCCAGUAACGUCAGAAAGGAUCACCCACCCUGCUCAUGGACUGUUUGUCCCACUCUCAUUAGGGAGGAGGCUAAGUAGCAGACUCAAAAACAGUUAUUUUCCCCAAGCAGUAAGGCUGAUCAGCAUCUCCACCCACUGACGCACCCCUCCACACCCAACCAUCACUACUUUAUCAUUUCCUAUCAGAGUCUCCUUACGUACAGACACUCCAGUGUCAAGUGUCACAUUAUGGACAUACAGUCAAUUUGUGUACUGUAUAAACUACCUGUUGGUGAUUCUCUGAUGUAGUAGUUUUGUUAAACUUGUAUUCCCUGACCUUGAAGACCUAAUGGUCAAAUGCCGUCCAUUCUAUUUACCAAGAGAGUUCUCCUCAAUCAUAUGUCCACAGAGUACAUACCACCAGCGACCGACUACAAUCCAGCACUCCAGAGACUGCAUGACGCCGUCUCUAAACACAAAACAGUCCAUCUCGAUGCAUUUCACAGCAUAGUCAGGGACUCCAACCCGGCUUGUUUGAAGAAAAACACUACCCACUUGCAAUCAGCACAUAACCUGUAGCACCAGCAGUCCCAAUGCACUAGAUCACUGUUACACCAAGAUAAGGAAUUCCUGCUCUUCCAUGCCCAUACCUUGUUUCAGUAAAUCUGACCAGCUGGCUGUUCUCCUCCUACCUGCACCCAGGCAGAGGCUACAAACAAGGUUCCAGAGAUUAGGACAACAAAGAACU
Mobula hypostoma (lesser devil ray) is the source of this 946-nucleotide long non-coding RNA. RefSeq lists it as uncharacterized. The transcript has 3 exons. NCBI's taxonomy places the organism in Eukaryota, Metazoa, Chordata, Chondrichthyes, Myliobatiformes, Myliobatidae. The record is from RefSeq and is a predicted model, not a curated record.